This 46-nucleotide non-coding RNA is filed under the name Schistosoma mansoni. Lineage: Eukaryota; Metazoa; Platyhelminthes; Trematoda; Strigeidida; Schistosomatidae. The record is from RNAcentral.
AUCCAGUUGACGAGUCCAAAUAUAGGACGAAACGCGCAUCCUGGAU